Cloeon dipterum is the source of this 3913-nucleotide long non-coding RNA. RefSeq lists it as uncharacterized. The transcript has 2 exons. NCBI's taxonomy places the organism in Eukaryota, Metazoa, Arthropoda, Insecta, Ephemeroptera, Baetidae. The record is from RefSeq and is a predicted model, not a curated record.
AUUAUGCACGCCCGUCGGCGCCCGCCGAGAAUUGAAUAAUCAAUCGGCCGGCCGGCGAGCAGAGCAGCGGACCGCACGCGCGACCUGACGUCAGGGUGUCCCGCGCGACCAAGCGAUUGACUUGAUUGUGAGCUGGGUCAACGUCGCAGAUGACAGCGGUCAUCUAUAAGGAAAGGUCAGGUGAGAAAUAAAUCUUAGAUAGGAGUGUUAAUUUAUUUAUGUACUAAAUUUUUUAGCUAAGCAUUGCAUUUUACUCUAAAACAAACACAUAAAAUUCACACAGUCACGCAAAUAUGCAGAUGAUGUAUUAUAAGUCGUAAAACAAAUAUUGCAGAACCAGCUUUUUCACUUAGGAAAAUAAAUAAAUUUGAUCGUCCUCGUUGAACCUUUAAUUAAAUGUGAGAUGUGAGCGCGUUGAAAAGUCUCCCAUUUUAUUACGCACUUACUAAAAUACAAGGAUACUCUUUGGCCAAAUGAUUUUAAAGUGUUUGUCAACGUUAUUAUUUUUUUUAGAGAUUUUGCAAUGACUUCGGUCUGAUUAAUUUGUUUUCUGCUAACAUUUUACCCAUUCCUUAUUUGGAUAUAAUUAUUUUGACUAUGUACCCAAUAAUACACACUUUGACUUGGACUAGAAUAAAAAACGCGUUGAUGAAAUCGAUACGUGAACAGCAAAAAAUCUAAAGGCCGAACUGAUUUGUGAAAAUGUAAAAUCGACUUAUUUUUGGCGUAAUAAUCUUUAUCAAGCGCUCGAACUAAGAAAUAAUGUCGUAAAAAAAUUAGGACUCUUUUAUCUCUUUUCAUAUUGCUUAUGACCGACCUAAUUUAAUUAAAGCUUCCACUGUUAUAAUAUUUACGAAUUAAUCAAUAACUAAAAAAAACACGUUAAACUAGAACAUUAAUUUACAUCAAAAGUGCUCAGUCACAAUUUACUCGUCGCAGACACUGAAAACAAGGACAGCAGCUUAUUUUUGCAGCUAAAUACGCCUUGCACAGCGGCGGAUACCGAGCAGAAUAGUCGUUCAAUGCAGUGCUGAGCCAUUCCAGCGCUUGCCGAUGAUAAAAGCGAGCAAGCGUUGAAGCGUAUUUUCUUCAUUCAUUUCCAGGCCAGAUCAGAUAAAUAACUGGAAAAAUGUAACUGGAAAAUGAUAAUGUAAAAAAAAUCAAUCCCUUGAGCGAUAAUUUUAAACAAAACAUUUACCGUGGAGACAUCUUCCAAUGAAUUUUGUGACAAAAAACUUAUUGUUUCCUAAUUUUAAACGUUAUAUUAUAGUACUCUGAAUUAGCAAAAUAUAAUUUUUUUAAGUUUGCAGAUCAGAAUGAUGUCUUUUGGGAGGGGGUAUUGACGUGAGAAAAACACCAGUUAAUUAUUAUAUUCAUUUCAUGUUUAUUAAUCUUGUCGGUUUUCAUCAAUUCCUUACAGCAAAAUUUGAGGAAACAUGUCACAGUAAAAAUCUUUCUCCUUCAACAAAUGACAUUCACACAAUGUUGAAGUUUUACUUUAAAAACCAUUUAUUUUCGUUAACACGACGAAACAAACAGCAUUAUUUAGACAUAGUAAGUGACACUUAUUGCCUCGGAAACUUGCAACGUACGAGAAGGGAAAAUGUUGUAUGCGUUUGUGUGUGUAUGUGUGAAUGCGCGAAAUAUCUGCCAAAGUUUCGUUCGGUUUUGAGCAAAAUUGAGAAUCAGCGUAAACGGAAAGCCUUCUCCGUGUAUAAAUAGUUUUAUUUUUAGUCUGCUUGUAAAUAUAGUGUUCCUCUGCCGCGCUAGUAGUAUUUUCUGCACUAUUGUUUCACUUGUGUAAAGGCACCGCUUUUUACGUGUUCCAAAUUACAAAUAUCAUCUAAUUUGGAGGCAGAUCCAAUUCGUUUCAAUUGCGUCACAACUCUGGAGCGUGUAUGUGUAAAGUUUAAUCGGCCGGCUCUUUGAUGUUUUUGUUCAUCAGUUAUAUUAGUUUCUUCUUACAAUAAAUAAAAUUGUUAUAUGGCAAGUGAGAGACGAUAAAAAUGAUGGGAGUGUAUUAUAGACAAACGACGAUGUAACGCGGGGGUGAAAGGGGGGGAGUGAGGGAAUCGGGAAAUCCUAUUUUUAACUAUUUACAAAUGAUGGCUUGCAAUCUGACGAGAACUUGAAGAAACGAUUGAAAUAAGCGUAGCUAAUGCACACACGAGUUGCAAGCCGACUUAAGAUGAAAAAAACCUUACGCCUACAUAGUAGGAACUAAAAAUGCUCCGCGUCAGGCACGAGGUACUUCGAAUGGUCCUCGUUGAAGCCGACGCGCGCACAAUGCGAGCAGUCAGGGAAAUAAAUAAGAGCUGCGUGAAACAGGUACACAUUCAAAUAGACAUGUGUGUUGGUUGGCAAGAUGUGUGGUUGGUUGGUGGUUCCCGAUUUCUGGUUUCAGUUCAGUUCGCGAGCCGCGUCACCCGAAAGGCACCCGAAUGAGCAACGUAAAUUCGCUGGCUGGCACACGUACACAGACGAACGAACGAUCAAACACUCGUCGUCGCGGCCGACUUCGGGUUCAGACUGCUCGUUUUCGUCGCAACUUAUUCGAGUGCGCCUAAGUACUUUGAUUUUGGGGGCUGGAAAGUAAGCAAGCGAACGAUCGAAUGGCGACAACACAAUAUUAAUUCUAUUUAUUUUUAAACGAGGAACGUGUUACGAUUCAAAACUCAUUAUUUUUGUGUUUAGUUAGCGUUUAGUUUCGCACAAAGAACAAUAAAAUUUCUUUUUUCUAAGGAUUUUAAUGUGUGAAAUGAAUUUACCAAUAGUUUUGCUUUUGACAUGCUGUAUAUUAUAAUAUAUAAAAUUUAUUUGAGUUUAUCGAGUUUAUUCAGUGCAUUACAAAGCAAAACUGCUUUUACUUUUAAAAUUUUAGGAAUUUCGCACGUUUUUUAUCCAACAUUCAAAGGUUUUGAUAAAAAUAUAUCUAAACCUAUGAAAAACGUUUGAUAGGAAUCUGCGAAAUGAAUAAAAUGUUUCAUUUAGACUAAUUAAGUUUCCUAAUAAAAUAUCGGUAUUGAAAUACCAUAAAAUAUAAGGGGAAACUAGAAUUCUUUCAAUUUCUUCAUUGGGCUUUCAAAAUUGAAAAGUCAGCACAUAUGAGCAUUUUUUAAAAGGAAUUUUGUAUUCUUGUUAAGAAAAUAAAAAUCAAGACAUUAUUCUCGUUGGUUAAAGAGUUUUUAAUAACUCACAUUUUUGAGUUCUCUCUUUCUCUGCGAAAAAAUAGGGAAUCUUCAGUUGAAUCAUUAUUUAGUAAUUUCCAUGAUCUAAAUCCAAUAGGGACUUUUAUUUUUCAUUUACUAGCAUGGUCUCAAAUCUUUGUAAACAUUGCUGAGAAUGUGUCGCAACUAAAUCGCAGAAUCCUAACACGUUCCUCGUCAGAUGGGUCCAGAGUGGAGCAAAAAUAUAAAAAUUAUGUCAGUCUUUUCUUAAAACGUUAAAAGCUAUGGAGAAAAAUCGAGCACUCCGAACCAAAAGAAUGCGUCGGCACAAUUAAAUUCUAAGAGAAAAAAAAGUCAUGAUGUCCUGAGUUAUGCAUCGCACUAGCGCAAUGUCCUCUCUCUCUCUCCUCUCUCAACACUGCUUUAUCUUAGGAGUUUCGUCCUCGUGCUGAGGCGGCUUGAAGCUCAGGUUCACGUCGCCCAGCGCCACGUAACCUGAGCUGUUGGCACUUUUCGGCGGCGCCGGUGGCCCCGGGUCGCCCACUUUGGCGUAGCCGUUCAGCGCCGCCUGGGGCAUGGUUGGCGAGGCCGGCGCAGACGACGUCGAUGACGAGCAGGAACUUGGUGUUUCAUCCGCAGUCGAGGUCGAGCCCUUGCGAAGCAUGAAACCGUUAGGUGGCGCCGCCGAGUACCCAUUGGAAUCCUGCCUAGACAGCAUCAGGUCGACCUGAAACACGCGGCACCAG